CCUACCUCAAAAUUUUGCAUUCAACAGUGUCACCCCUUGUUUUCUCAGUCUUUGACAUUUAGCAGUUGAAUUUGAGUUUGAAUCAAAAUGAAGCCAUGUCCUUUUGUUUUCAUCAUGCUCCUUAUUAGCAUCGGUAAGUAUCAUUGUUCUUCCUUUUUAUACUUUGCUCUCGGCCCUACGUUGUAGAGAUAGACUUCUCUUUUUUCUUUUGUCAAAAGAUUCAAUGGGGAGCAUUUUCAACAUUCAGUCCCUCGGGUAAAACUCAAUGCAGUAAUAUUUUUUUGGGAAAGGCUUUUAUGCUUCCCCCAUAGCAUGGAAGUUUUAUCCUCCCCCUACCAUCCAGCCGUCCAAUUUUGAUCAAGAGUGUCACUCACCAUUUGAACUUAGAUCCGACGUCUCAAUAUUUUAUUUUUAUUUUUUUUAUACAAAUUAUAUAAAUAUAAAAUUUGGUAUGUCCUAUCUUCUCAUUGGGGAGCACCUAGAAAAAAUAUUAAAAAUAAUUUUUGAUAAAAUAUAAUGACCAAAAUACCCCUUAAAAAUUUCAGUAGUAUUUUGGUCAUUUUAUUUUAUUGAAAAUAUUUUUUUUAUAUUUUUGUCUAGUGCAAGCUUAAUAGAGGAAUGGACAUCCAAAAUUUGGUGUCAAAAUAAUUUAUAGAAAAUACUUAAAAAUAAAAUAGUGUAGAGAAGUGACAUUGUGAUUGGGACAAUCUUAGCCCUUCAUUCAGAAUGGACGGUUGGAUAAGGGGGAGGAUAGAACUUCUAUGUUGUAGGGGAAGCAUAGAAAUCUUGCCCUAUUUUUUUAUCAAUAAAUGUUGGGGACACAACAUUUGUAAUGGUUGGCUAUAGAUUUUAAAAAAAAAAAAAGAAAAAAAAAGAAAAAAAAAAAAGAAAUAUCAAAUGCAUUUUGUAUGUGCCAGAAAAUAUAAUGUCCUAAUAUUGCAUAGAGAUCGAUAAUUUUUAGAAGGUCAGAUCUAAACUUGGGAACUUAAAUCUGAUUAUUAUCAUUUUAGUAUAAUCAUCUAGUUAUUUUUAGGUGGAUUCUAAAAUUUUAGAUCGGAAAAAUUCUCCUUAGUAGCUCUUUUGCCUAAAAGAGUGAGUGUACAAUAUACGCUUACUGGCUCUUUUUCUAAACAUCGAGAUAGAGAGACUCUCCUUUGCACUUUUUACACUCUUUAGAGAGAGAUACUUUGUUUUCCAUUUGUUAUGUUGUCUUGGCCUGAGCGGGGCCAAGCCAACCAAAGCAUCACAAUAUCAUGGGAAUAUGAACUAGUUAAUAUUUCACCUAUUUUUAUUAAAUUCCAACAAGCUCACAUGGUCAUAAGUUAAAGUAGUUGAUUUUUUAGGUGUUUUGUUAUAAAUAGGUGAAAUGUUAGAUAGUCGAAAUUUUAGAUGAGUUUCGAUAAAUUUUCUUACCUAUGUAUUAUAUGUAUAAAUUUCAAUUAUAGAGAAGAUCUACAUACACAGACCCUAUUUUGGUCCUGGCCAAGGCCUGUCCCUAGGGCCACAUUUUGUGGCCCAAGCCCUAAAUUUUUAGGGCCUGGCCGACCGACCCGCCCAGCCCAUUGCCCCCCCUUAUUUACAUAUCACUUAAAGAUUGGUCCAGCACUACGAUGAAAUUCAAGAAACUUUUGGCAUAAAUUUUUGCACUAGUUUUCAUGAAACUAGUUUCAUAUUUUUACCCUUGCCUUUCAUUUUAUGCAAUUCCUGUAUCAGCUUAUGAGAAAAUAGCCAAAUGGGCAGAAAUCACCAAAAACAAAAAAAUAAAGUUUCUCCAAAAUCCAAAUUCAUGCGAAUGUUCUUGAUUUCGGCUUCUUUCUCUUAGAAGUGUAGAUCAAGAGAUAGAAAGGUACUAGAGCAACUUACAGUAGAUGACAGAUAGAGAGGUACCAAACCAAUUUCCAAUGAAAACAGUGAUUCUAACUACUAUAGUAAAAGGCACAGCCCGAGCCUGGUCCACCAUGGCCUAAUCAUAUCCACAUUUGAGUGAUAUAUAUCGAACCGAACCAAGUGGCAGCAUUGAAAAACAAUUUGAGCCAAGCUUGGGCUAAGUGUAGUCAGGCAAGCUCGGCACUGGCUGAGUCUAAAGAGACUGAGCCCAGCCUAUUGGCAGCCCUAAUCAUACCUGCAAUAUAUUUUUGUUUCAACUAUGUCUGUAAUUUUCUUAGGCAUUUGAUAAAUGCAGGAGAUGUAGCAGUGAUGAUAGAGGGAGAUGAGGUUGAUGAGAAUUGUUCAACGUCCAUAUCAAAUCGAUUCAUCGUUUGCAUCGGUUCAUAUUGUAGAAAGGAUUGUCAGACUCUUUAUCCCCAAGCACAUGGAGAAUGCACCGGAUUCUUUGAUUGCACCUGCACUUCCUUUUGUCGGGGUGGUCCGCACUGAUUUGGCUUGCAGCAGGCUGCCCUCUCACUCUCUCUCAGCUCUGUCGAUUUGUAUCGGUGUCUUGUUUGAUAUGGAUUCCAUUAUCUCUCUCUCUAUCUCUCUCUGAGUUCCGUCGAUUUGUAUUGGUAGUAAUCAGAUGUGAACUUUUUGCUACGGGUCUUCUUACAAGUCUUUUGAAAGGGGCACCUCUCUGAUCGGCUUCAUAUCAAUGUUCGCAAAAAUUGAAUCCCGGUAAAUGGGCCGGUUCAGACGGCUUAGCCGUGCAGGUCCCGGCUGGUCCAAUUAUUGGUCAAGAAAUACUAAUAAUAUAUUUAAAGCAUGAUUACACAAGGUGCAUUCAAAUGAAGUUGAAGAUUACUGAAAAAAUUGAUUUGUGGCCAGGGGUAUUUUUAAAAUUGGACUAGCCAAUUCCAAGUUGAACCGGUCGAGUUUGCGAACACAGCUUCAUAUAAUGUCUCUCCCAUCCAUCGUCUUGUACAUACAAUACCUUAUCUCUCUUCACCCACAAGGUCCACUCUCUUUUCUCCACCUCAUCCUUUUUAGUUUAUGUGUAAAAGAUGUUGGGCUUAUGUGGUCGGUAAAG
This 2959-nucleotide long non-coding RNA is filed under the name Amborella trichopoda. RNAcentral's name for it is "long non-coding RNA (ATRI_LNC004501)". Lineage: Eukaryota; Viridiplantae; Streptophyta; Magnoliopsida; Amborellales; Amborellaceae. The record is from RNAcentral.